This 225-nucleotide long non-coding RNA is filed under the name Rhinopithecus roxellana (golden snub-nosed monkey). RNAcentral describes it as "lncRNA (ENSRROG00000046055.1)". Lineage: Eukaryota; Metazoa; Chordata; Mammalia; Primates; Cercopithecidae. The record is from RNAcentral.
UUUCUGUCUUCUAGGGCUACUUCCUUCUUCGGUUUCUUGCCGAAAGACUUGGAGAUGAAACCUAUUUUUCAUUUUUAAGAAAAUUUGUGCACGCAUUUCAUGGACAGCUGAUUCUUUCCCAGGAUUUCCUUCAAAUGCUACUGGAGAACAUCCCAGAAGAAAAAAGGCUUGAGUUGUCUGUUGAAAACAUCUACCAAGACUGGCUUGAGAGUUCCGGAAUACCAA